AGUGAACGCUGGCGGUAGGCCUAACACAUGCAAGUCGAACGGCAGCACAGUAAGAGCUUGCUCUUACGGGUGGCGAGUGGCGGACGGGUGAGGAAUACAUCGGAAUCUACUUUUUCGUGGGGGAUAACGUAGGGAAACUUACGCUAAUACCGCAUACGACCUACGGGUGAAAGCAGGGGAUCUUCGGACCUUGCGCGACUGAAUGAGCCGAUGUCGGAUUAGUUAGUUGGCGGGGUAAAGGCCCACUAAGGCGACGAUCCGUAGCUGGUCUGAGUGGAUGAUCAGCCACACUGGAACUGAGACACGGUCCAGACUCCUGCGGGAGGCAGCAGUGGGGAAUAUUGGACAAUGGGCGCAAGCCUGAUCCAGCCAUACCGCGUGGGUGAAGAAGGCCUUCGGGUUGUGAAGCCCUUUUGUUGGGAAAGAAAAGCAGCAGGUUAAUACCCCGCUGUUCUGACGGUACCCAAAGAAUAAGCACCGGCUAACUUCGUG
RNAcentral lists this ribosomal RNA (492 nucleotides) under uncultured bacterium. Its description in RNAcentral is "partial 16S ribosomal RNA". It matches the Rfam family "Bacterial small subunit ribosomal RNA", at positions 29 to 507 of the family's 1533-position model. The record is from RNAcentral.